This is a long non-coding RNA of Rhinopithecus roxellana (golden snub-nosed monkey), 350 nucleotides long. RefSeq lists it as uncharacterized. The transcript has 3 exons. NCBI's taxonomy places the organism in Eukaryota, Metazoa, Chordata, Mammalia, Primates, Cercopithecidae. The record is from RefSeq and is a predicted model, not a curated record.
UAUGAUUUGAAGACAAUUGCUUGACUUCACUCAAAUGAGUCCCUGAAUGAUUUCCUAGAACAGAACCUGCACUGUACUGCACUGUAAUAAGUGAGGUAGCUUCAAGGUACCUACCACUCAAAGAGGAAAGAAAAGUGUGUCAAACCUACAAGCCAGGAAAUAGGUCAGCCUGAAGAUCCACGUGCAGAAAAGAACAUUGAGAGUGGUCAGUGGCCCAGGUAACUGACUAGUUUUCCAAUGUCUGGAGGCAAGUAUGCCUAUCAAUUGCAAAUUACAAAUUCUCAACCCGGACUCCGAGGCGUGGUAUUGAGUGGAAUGCUAUAAAUGUAACCCAGCUGUUAACUUUGCAU